GCCGGAAUGGCGGAAUUGGUAGACGCGCAUGAUUCAGGGUCAUGUGCCCGCAAGGGUGUGCAGGUUCAAGUCCUGUUUCCGGCACCA
Molecule: transfer RNA, 87 nt
Filed under: Meiothermus granaticius NBRC 107808
Lineage: Bacteria; Thermotogati; Deinococcota; Deinococci; Thermales; Thermaceae
Also listed under: 3 other names
Description: tRNA-Leu
Rfam family: tRNA
About the family: Transfer RNA (tRNA) molecules are approximately 80 nucleotides in length. Their secondary structure includes four short double-helical elements and three loops (D, anti-codon, and T loops).
Source: RNAcentral